CUGCAGUGGGGAAUAUUGCGCAAUGGACGAAAGUCUGACGCAGCGACGCCGCGUGGGUGAUGAAGUUCUUCGGAACGUAAAACCCUGUCAGGAGGGACGAAGAUCUGACGGUACCUCCAAAGGAAGCCCCGGCUAACUCCGUGCCAGCAGCCGCGGUAAUACGGGGGGGCAAGCGUUGUUCGGAAUUACUGGGCGUAAAGGGCGCGUAGGCGGCUAAGCAGGUCCGGUGUGAAAUCCCUCGGCUCAACUGAGGAAUUGCGCUGGAAACCGCUUGGCUCGAGUACAGGAGAGGAGGGCGGAAUUCCCGGUGUAGCGGUGAAAUGCGUAGAUAUCGGGAAGAACACCGGUGGCGAAGGCGGCUCUCUGGACUGUAACUGACGCUGAGGCGCGAAAGCGUGGGGAGCGAACGGGAUUAGAUACCCCGGUAGUCCACGCUGUAAACGUUGGGUACUUGGUGUUGGGGGUUUGAGUCCCUCAGUGCCGAAGCUAACGCAUUAAGUACCCCGCCUGGGGAGUACGGUCGCAAGGCUG
RNAcentral lists this ribosomal RNA (531 nucleotides) under uncultured bacterium. Its description in RNAcentral is "bacterial SSU rRNA". It matches the Rfam family "Bacterial small subunit ribosomal RNA", at positions 349 to 896 of the family's 1533-position model. The record is from RNAcentral.